UCCUACCCCUGCCACUAUCUGACUGUGUGACCUUGGGCCAGUCGCUUCCCCUCUCUGGGCCGCGGAGGUUAAAACUGGCCCUUUCCCCCGUCUCUGCAGCUCACAUCCCCCUGCGACGUGGCCGCCUGGCCGCCGAGCUUUCGGGGUGCCGGGAAGCACGAGCUGCGCGCAGGUCGCGGGGUCCGCGGGUGGCGGCCCACUCUGCUCCUGCCCGACGCCCAGCUUGGGGUGCCGUUCGUUGAAAAGGCUCCGGGAUCCUGCGGAGACUCAGCCCCGCCCCACUGCCCUUCGGCAUGAAGGUCUGCACAAGGUCAGGGAGGAUCUUGCAUUCCUCCCUCCGUCCCUGUUCCCUGGGGCAGCUCACGUGAAUGGGCACCCAUCCUCCAACCUGAUAGCGCUCCUCGGCAGCCCUCGGUUCAUCCCCCAUAGGGCCGCGGGUGAGCGUUGUCAGGCACAGCCCUGCUCACCCUUUUCGUUCUUUUUUUUUUUUCUUUUUCUUUUUUGAGGCUCUGCCUCAAAAAAGUGGCGCGAUCUCGGCUCACUGCAACCUCCCCCUCCGGGGCUUAGGCGAUUCUCGUGCCUUAGCCACCUGAGUAGCUGGGACUACAGGCCUGCGCCACCACGCCCGGCUAAUUUUUGUAUUUUUAGCAGAGACGGGGUUUCACCAUUUGUUGGCCAGGCUGGUCUUGAACAUCUGACCUCAGGCGAUCCACCCGCCUCCGCCGCCCAAAGUGCUGGGAAUACAGGCAUGAGCCACCGCUCCCAGCCCUGCUGGUCCCUUUCGAAGGAAACCUUCGCUGGCUCCCUAGUGCCCUGGAAUAACACUGAAACCCCUUAGAACGGUGGAGAAGGCCUAUCUCCAUCUGCCCCAACAUCAUUCCCCAGUUUCGCGUUCUUCCCUCACCUUAAGGAAGUGCUUAGAGAUGUUUAAAGCAGAGGUUCAGGAGUCUACCAGUUCCUAGCUAUGUGACUUUAGGCCAGUUGCUGCUUAUUGCUAAACCUUGAUUUCCACAUCCUUAAAAUGGGGGUGGCAGCACACAUUCCGCAGGACAGGCUGAGGAUUAAGUGAGUCACUUAGCAUAGUUCCUGGAACACACUCAACUCACCCUAAGUGCUUGUUAUUAUAAUUCUCAGCCCACAUUUGGCUACCACCUCCUACUUCCUCAAGCUUGUCAUUGUCUUUCCCUACAUUGUGCCUCCAUGCAUACCUGGAAAGCCCUUCCUCUUCUCUUCCCCACCCUGUAGGUUCUUACACACCCUUUAAAGCCCAAAUCAAAGGCCAUUGCCUGUGAAGACUUCUACCCUUCCUGCCAACAGGGUAAAGAGUUCUUCGUCCUCUAUCUGCUCAUCAUCACCUAGGGACCACACUCAGCAUCACACAUGGUGGACAGCUGGCCUUAAGUGCCUCCUGCCAACCUCAAAGGAAGAGGCUGGGGCACGAAAUAUAAUUUGAAGAGUUUACUUGAGUCAAAGUGAGGACAGCUGCUGAGAAGACUCAGAAUCAAGUAACCUCAGAUAUGAGCUCCAUUUGGCCUUUGUUACAUACAAGCAGGUGUUUAAACAUAUAUAUGUGUGUGUAUAUGUAUAUUUCCUCCCACCUCAGCCUCCCUAGUAGCUAGGGACUACAGACACGCACCACCAUACCCAGCUAAUUUUAAUUUUUAAUUAUUUUUUUUUUUUUUGUAGAGACAAAGUCUCAUUAUGUUGCCCCGGCUGUUCUCGAACUCCUGGGCUCAAGGGAUCCUCCUGCCUCAGCCUCCCAAAGUGCUGGGAUUACAGGUGUGAGCCACUGUGACUGGUCACAAGCAGGUUUCUUUGUUUCAUUUUGUUUUGAGACGGGGUCUCACUCUGUUGCCCAGGCUGGAGUGCAGUGGCAUGAUCUCGGCUCACUGCAGCCUCAAACUGUUGGGCUCAAGCAAUCCUCCCACCUCAGCCUCCUAAGUAGCUGGGACCACAGGCAUGAGCCACCACGCCCUGCUAAUUUUUUAUUUCGUUGUAGAGACGGAUUUUGCCAUGUUGCCCAGGCUCACAAGCAGGUUUCUAAAGACAAAAAAAGAAUAGGGAGAGGGCUAUUACAGAGUUGUGUGUCAGGAAUUCUCAUUGGUUUACAGAAAUAACAUUGGUUCGUGAUUGGCCUGGCAAGCAGUUUUAAGAGAUGAAUACAUAGCUUAAAGUGGGAUGUAGGACUGAUUACUGUCUCAUUUAUUAAUUUAAAAGGACUUGAAUUGCCCAGAUGAAAGUUCUUUUCUCGACUGGGCGCGGUGGCUCACACCUGUAAUCCCAGCACUUUGGGAGGCCGAGGCGGGCGGAUCACGAGGUCAGGAGAUCAAGACCAUCCUGGCUAACACAAUGAAACCCCGUCUCUACUAAAAAAUACAAAAAAUUAGCCGGGCGUGGUGGCGGGCUCCUGUAGUCCCAGCUACGCGGGAGGCUGAGGCAGGAGAACGGCGUGAACUGGAGAGGCGGAGCUUGCAGUGAGCCGAGAUCGCGCCACUGCACUCCAGCCUGGGCGACAGAGCAAGACUCCGUCUAAAAAAAAAAAAAAAAAAGAAAGAAAGUUCUUUUCUCACCCCUAAUAGGAUGGAGUAGACUACAUAGCUCCACCUAUUUUGGCUCCUGUGAAAAAUAUUGAGCCUGAAUCUAAUGAGGCCUAUAAGAACUAGCUUCAGUUACGAAAAGUUCAGGGGAUAGAGGAACACGUUAAACAACACACAAAGAAGCAAUCAGACAAAGCCAGAAUGUGAAACAGUUUAUAAGACAACUGCCAUAAUCUCUUAAAAGCCAAUGUUGUAAAAACAAAAAAAAGUAAUGGGGAGGAGGUUCUAGAUUUAAAGAGACCUAAUAGUCUAACAAGCCAAAUAUAAGAUGUGAUUCUUGAUUAUAUCUUGAUUUAUUACUAUAAAAAAAUAAGGACCACGUUUUUAUUUUUAUCAUAUUUAUUU
RNAcentral lists this long non-coding RNA (2942 nucleotides) under Homo sapiens (human). RNAcentral describes it as "non-protein coding lnc-LARP1-1:1". Lineage: Eukaryota; Metazoa; Chordata; Mammalia; Primates; Hominidae. The record is from RNAcentral.